RNAcentral lists this ribosomal RNA (1369 nucleotides) under Pristimantis peruvianus (Peru robber frog). RNAcentral describes it as "partial 16S ribosomal RNA". It matches the Rfam family "Bacterial large subunit ribosomal RNA", at positions 373 to 2584 of the family's 2925-position model. The record is from RNAcentral. Lineage: Eukaryota; Metazoa; Chordata; Amphibia; Anura; Strabomantidae.
CUUAAAAUGCAGCCCAUACCCUUCUUCCCCCACCCCCCCGUCACCAAACAAAAUAUUUUAACAAUCUAGUAAAGAAGAUUAAAAAAUUUCUAAGAGCCUCACCAUUGUACCGCAAGGGAACCAUGAAAUAAAAAUGAAAUAGUCAAAAGCAUAAGACAGUAGAGAUUAACUCUCGUACCUUUUGCAUCAUGGUUUAGCUAGUCUACAUAGGCAAAAAGCCCUUAAGUCUAUCGCCCCGAAACUAAGUGAGCUAUUUUAGGGCAACUUAUGAGUAAACCCGUCUAUGUUGCAAUAUAGUGGGAAGACCUUAAAAUAGAAGUGACAAACCUAACGAACUUAGUUAUAGCUGGUUUCUCAAGAAAUGAAUGUUAGUUCAACCUAAAGCUAUUUAAAUAUAAAUAAAUACUACAUCACCCCUUUAGAGUAACUCAAACAAGGUACAGCCUGCUUGAUAUCGGGUACAACCGUUACUUACGGGUCACACAAAAUUAACUGCACCAAGUAGGCCUAAUAGCAGCCACCUUUUAAAGAGCGUCAAAGCUUAUACAUGUUUAUACUAAUCCCCAAACCCCCGUGGACCCCUAUAACCUUACUGAGAAAUUCCAUACCGCUAUGGAAAUUUUUAUGCUAAAAUUAGUAACAAGAGCUAAAACUCUCUUUAAUGUAAGUGUAAGCCACCUGGACCAACCAUUGGCAAUUAACAGACACAAAAUAGUAACUAACCUAGAAAACCCUACUACAUCAACUGUUAACCUAACACUAGAACAUCACCAGAAAGAUUAAAAGAUAAAGAAGGAACUCGGCAAACACUUUAAACCCCGCCUGUUUACCAAAAACAUCGCCUCUCGAAAUCAUUAGAGGUCCAGCCUGCCCAGUGACUCUUGUUCAACGGCCGCGGUAUCCUAACCGUGCGAAGGUAGCGUAAUCACUUGUCUUCUAAAUAGAGACUAGUAUGAAAGGCAUCACGAGGGUUUAACUGUCUCCUCUAUCUAAUCAGUGAAAUUAAUCCCCUCGUGAAAAAGCGAGGAUCCCCCUAUAAGACGAGAAGACCCUAUGGAGCUUAAAACAUCUUACACGUGUCCCCCCCCCCUUUUACCUUGACACGCUGAUUUUAUGUUUUUGGUUGGGGUGACCGCGGAGAAAAUCUCAUCCUCCGUAGUGAAAGGAAUAAUCCUUAACGACGAGCUACAACUCUAUGUACUAGUACACUAACACCUAUUGACCCAUGAAUUGAUUAAUGAACCAAGUUACCCUGGGGAUAACAGCGCAAUCCACUUCAAGAGCCCCUAUCGACAAGUGGGCUUACGACCUCGAUGUUGGAUCGGGAUGCCCUAGUGGUGCAGCCGCUACUAAGGGUUCGUUUGUUCAA